This 422-nucleotide ribosomal RNA is filed under the name uncultured archaeon. RNAcentral's name for it is "bacterial SSU rRNA". It matches the Rfam family "Archaeal small subunit ribosomal RNA", at positions 458 to 880 of the family's 1478-position model. The record is from RNAcentral.
UCAGCCGCCGCGGUAAAACCAGCACCUCGAGUGGUCAGGAGGUUUAUUGGGCCUAAAGCAUCCGUAGCCGGUUGUUUAAGUUUUCGGUUAAAUCUAUGCGCUUAACGUAUAGGCUGCCGAAAAUACUGGACAGCUAGGGAGUGGGAGAGGUACACGGUACUCAAUAGGAAGGGGUAAAAUCCUUUGAUCUGUUGAUGACCACCUGUGGCGAAGGCGGUGUACCAGAACACGUUCGACGGUGAGGAAUGAAAGCUGGGGGAGCAAACUGGAUUAGAUACCCGGGUAGUCCCAGCUGUAAACGAUGCAAACUCGGUGAUGCAUUGGCUUGUGGCCAAUGCAGUGCCGCAGGGAAGCCGUUAAGUCUGCCGCCUGGGGAGUACGAUCGCAAGGUUGAAACUUAAAGGAAUUGGCGGGGGAGCACA